Synechocystis sp. PCC 6803 is the source of this 74-nucleotide transfer RNA. It matches the Rfam family "tRNA". Rfam says of the family: Transfer RNA (tRNA) molecules are approximately 80 nucleotides in length. Their secondary structure includes four short double-helical elements and three loops (D, anti-codon, and T loops). Lineage: Bacteria; Bacillati; Cyanobacteriota; Cyanophyceae; Synechococcales; Merismopediaceae. The record is from Rfam.
CGGGAUGUAGCGCAGCUUGGUAGCGCACUUCGUUCGGGACGAAGGGGCCGCAGGUUCGAAUCCUGUCAUCCCGA